Molecule: ribosomal RNA, 531 nt
Filed under: uncultured bacterium
Lineage: Bacteria
Description: bacterial SSU rRNA
Rfam family: Bacterial small subunit ribosomal RNA
Source: RNAcentral
ACUGAAUAGAUACCCGGGUAGUCCACGCCGUAAACGAUGAAUACUUGGUGUUAGAGGUAUUGACCCCUCUAGUGCCGAAAGCUAAACGCGUUAAGUAUUCCGCCUGGGAAGUACGGUCGCAAGAUUAAAACUCAAAGAAAUUGACGGGGGCCCGCACAAGCGGUGGAGCAUGUGGUUCAAUUCGAUGCAACGCGAAGAACCUUACCUGGUCUUGACAUGUAUUGGAAGACUACCAGAGAUGGUGUCGCCUUCGGGCCGAUACACAGGUGCUGCAUGGCUGUCGUCAGCUCGUGUCGUGAGAUGUUGGGUUAAGUCCCGCAACGAGCGCAACCCUUGCCUUUAGUUGCCAGCAUUCAGUUGGGCACUCUAAAGGGACUGCCGACGUUAAGUCGGAGGAAGGUGGGGAUGACGUCAAGUCCUCAUGGCCUUUAUGACCAGGGCCACACACGUGCUACAAUGGUCGGUACAGAGAGAUGCUAAGUCGCAAGAUGGUGCUAACCUCCCAAAACCGAUCUAAGUUCGGAUUGGAGU